This 1519-nucleotide ribosomal RNA is filed under the name Barbulanympha sp. 3 AH-2011. RNAcentral describes it as "SSU rRNA". It matches the Rfam family "Eukaryotic small subunit ribosomal RNA". The record is from RNAcentral. Lineage: Eukaryota; Parabasalia; Trichonymphida; Barbulanymphidae.
AAGGAAGCAUACUCUGGUCAUAGAUUAAGCCAUGCAAGUGUUAGUUCAGGUAACAAAACUGCGAACAGCUCAUUAACACACUCAGUACCUAUUUGACGGCGACUUUUUAGUCUUACAUGGAUAGCAGUAGUAAAUCAUGUGCUAAUACAUGCAAGCGUUACACCAGAAUUGGCCUAUGGUGGAAGAGUUGACCGAAAGGUUUGUCAUAUGGAUGAGUGGCCUAUCAGCUAGUACGUAGGGUAAUGACCUAUGUAGGCGAUAACGGGUAACGGGCGGUGAACGUCGGACUGCCGGAGAAGGUGCCUGAGAGACAGCAACUAUGCCUACGGGCAGCAGCAGGCGCGAAACUUACCUCAUCGAGAUGCUCGGAGGUGGUAAUGACCAGUUCUAAGAUGAAAUUUAUUUCAUCUUAGAUAGAAUAGUAUGCAAAUAUCGCCAUGCAAUCAAGCAGAGGGCCAGUCUGGUGCCAGCAGCUGCGGUAAUUCCAGCUCUGCAAGUUUGCUCCCAUAUUGUUGCAGUUAAAAAGCCCGUAGUCAAACCUCACUAUGACGAGGAAAUUUACCGUUACACUGCGAAUAAAUCAGGAUGCUUAGAGUAUGUCCUACAUGGAUGACUCAGCGCAGUAUGAUCUUUUUGCUUUUCGAAGCGAGAUCAAGGGGAGCCAUUGGGGAUAGCCUUAUUCCAGGUCGAGCGGUGGAAUGCAUUGACACUUGGGAGAAGAACUACAGCGAAAGCAGCUAUCUAGAGGGUUUCUAUCGAUAAAGGGCGAGAGUAGGAGUAGCGAACCGGAUUAGAGACCCGGGUAGUUCCUACUGUAAACAAUGUCGACAGGGGAUUGACUUGGCAAGUCAGCACUCUUAGAAAAAUCAUAGUUCUUGGACUCUGGGGGAACCACGAUCGCAAGACUGAAACUUGAAGGAAUUGACGGAAGGGCACACAAUGGGGUGGAGCCUGUGGCUUAAUUUGAAUCAACGCGGGGCAACUUACUAGGAUAAGAUGAGCUGAGGACUGACAGUCUAAAGGGCUUUCAGGAUAGAACUUUGGGUGGUGCAUGGCCGUUGGUGGUGCGUGAGUUGGCUUGUCUAGCGUUGAUUCAGAUAACGAGCGAGAUUACCGCCAAAUAGUAGUGAUCUUCAGUCCGCUGAAGGUUGCUUUAUUUGGGACUGCCUGGUUGGAAACAGGAGGAAGGAGGUAGCAAUAACAGGUCCGUGAUGUCCUUUAGAUGCCCUGGGCUGCACGCGUGCUACAAUGUGAUUAUCAAACGGAAAAGGCUAUGGCGAAAGAUAUCAGCAACUCCGUAAUCACUCACGUCGUUGGGAUUGAUGGUUGGAAUGAUCAUCAUGAACCAGGAAUCUCUUGUAAAUGUGCGUCAACAUCACACGUUGAAUACGUCCCUGCCCUUUGUACACACCGCCCGUCGCUCCUACCGAUGGAUGACCUGGUGAAAUUGCCGGACUUUUCGGGGAAAGGCAGUUAAAUCAUGUUAUCUAGAGGAAGGAGAAGUCGUAACAAGGUAUCG